AUUGAACGCUGGCGGCAGGCCUAACACAUGCAAGUCGAGCGAGUGGCGGACGGGUGAGUAAUGCUUGGGAAUCUAGCUUAUGGAGGGGGAUAACUACGGGAAACUGUAGCUAAUACCGCGUACCAUAGGAUGAGCCCAAGUGGGAUUAGGUAGUUGGUGAGGUAACGGCUCACCUAGGCGACGAUCCCUAGCUGGUCUGAGAGGAUGACCAGCCACACUGGAACUGAGACACGGUCCAGACUCCUACGGGAGGCAGCAGUGGGGAAUAUUGCACGAUGGGCGCAAGCCUGAUGCAGCCAUGCCGCGUGUAUGAAGAAGGCCUUCGGGGUGUAAAGUACUUUCAGCGAGGAGGCGUUACUCGCAGAAGAAGCACCGGCUAACUCCGUGCCAGCAGCCGCGGUAAUUC
RNAcentral lists this ribosomal RNA (406 nucleotides) under uncultured bacterium. RNAcentral describes it as "partial 16S ribosomal RNA". It matches the Rfam family "Bacterial small subunit ribosomal RNA", at positions 30 to 526 of the family's 1533-position model. The record is from RNAcentral.